This is a long non-coding RNA of Grus americana (Whooping crane), 4707 nucleotides long. RefSeq lists it as uncharacterized. The transcript is spliced from 3 exons. NCBI's taxonomy places the organism in Eukaryota, Metazoa, Chordata, Aves, Gruiformes, Gruidae. The record is from RefSeq and is a predicted model, not a curated record.
GAAGGAGGGUCGAUUUAGAUUAGAUGUUAGAAAGAAAUUCUUUACUGUGAUGGUGGUGAGGCACUGGAACAGGUUGCCCAGAGAGGUUGUGGAUGCCCAAUCCCUGGAAGUGUUCAAGGCCAGGUUGGAUGAGGCUUUGGGCAACCUGGUCUAGUGGAGGGUGUCCCUGCCCGCAGCAGGGGGGUUGGAACUAGAUGGUCUUUAAGGUCCCUUCCAACCCAAACCAUUCUAUGAUUCUAUGAAACCAUGGGAAACCAAGUCCUUUUUUUUAGCUAUUUUUUCUCUUUGCUAGUUAAGGCCCUCUUAUGUAAGGCCACUUCACUUGACUUGCUGGAGCAUGCAAUAGCUCUCUGGUAAGCUUUGAGAAGGAAAGAGCAUUAUCAGAUAACAUGAGCUGUAUCAUAAGAUUUAAUGCCACACUUAAAAUCCUGAUUCUCAAGUUAAGUGGAUAUGUGGAAAUCUCAGCUCAUUAAAAUAAUAAAUAUUAGUUUUGUCAGCCCUCACUGCUGUGGAGGAAGGCUUGAAAAUGAGUACCUAAAAACUCACAAACCAUGAAAUGAAAAUAAUUCAAACUAGUUUGUGCUUUUUCAAAAAAUAUAAAACAUGAGACCCGAAUUUCCAUAAUAAAAAUGCAUGUCCUAUUUUUAUUUGUAUUUUCUUUCAUUUUCAAAGAAAUCUCUUGACAUGCAUUGGCACCUGUACCUAAAAACAUUAAACACUGGGGUUUUUAAAUAGCAAACUAGCAAGAGCGUCACAUGUUUCUUACACUGGUAUUGCUACUGUUUAUAAAGGGGUCAGGUGUUGCACUUUGGAAAAACAAAUAUCCACCAAAAUGUUUAAUGUUUUAUCUUCUUAUUCAUUCUUACACUUCAAAAAUCACUUUCACUUCUGUAUUUAUUUAGACUUUGUUCUCAAAACAUUCAUGGGGACUUUAAUCUCUGCCAAAACCCCUUUUCUAUCCUGCAAGGGCUUUUGCAAUUUAAGACUAUUUCCACUUUUGAAAAACAUUCAUUCUAGUUCUGCCUGGACACCUCAUUUCGGUGGACACGGGAAUGUCUUUCUAGCUCUUUUUACAGGGAAGCCUGGAUGAGGGGAGAGCGACCGUAAUAAAAGGCAGGAGGGGCACAUCUGGGCUGAGCACAGCUUUUUCGGCAGCUGUUCUCUCCUGCGCCCUUUUGCCAGUCUACCUGGUAGGGAUUCUGCUUUCAGUUUCAACCCUUUUAUCCAUAUGGAGAGGUAUGACCGCAGAAAUGACCUACCUCUUACCAGAAUUUAUUGCAAGCCUUUUCCUCUGCUCUACAUUUUUCUCCAGUCCUUACCUGACUUGACUCUGCGAAUUUUAACAUGUUUUCCCUUUGUUUCCUCCAGCCCUCUCCUGCAGCACUUUUCACACAUUUAACAUCACCCAGCAGCAGCUGUCAUCACAGGCUUAAUUUACUGUGGCCAAACUGGCUUCUCUGUGACUCACGUUAUAGCCUCAGGAGCUGUUGUUUUCUGGUACCUGGGAUACACGGUAAAAGAGGCGGAAAUCUUUCACUCGGUGUUAAACUGUUGGUUAGUAACUUAGAAGGGGUUUUGCGUUUAACAAUUCUGAGAUGUGUAUUGACAGCUGUCUUCCGCUACUAGGUCCAUGAGAAAAAUGCCCCUUAGGGUUGCUUUGAGAACUACCUAUAUUUAGAAGAAUUCAAAAGGUAAGAGCAGUUCUUAAAUUCAUUCUACAUGGGCAUUCUACCGAGGAGUUUUGUUUUCUUAAAACCAUGCCAGCUCCAACAGCAGAUGACAACAGAAGAUCAUCAGGGAAUGAAAGCCAUAUAACAAGGCUCAAAAUAAGACCGAUGAAAAAUGGCAUAUGGUUGUCUGGGGAGGACUUAAAAUCCUGUAAAAUUUGAACAUAAAUAACAUGAAGUCAACAUUGUUGACCUUCUGAGGCAGAGUCAAACUAGUGAUGCUAAUCUGUUCUAAGGAUUUCCUGUUCUUUUCACUCCUUUACCUUUGGUCUCGUAUAAAGACAUUGAUUCUCGGCAGGUCUCAACUACCUUUGAUGGGUGUCCUAGGUGAUGGUGGUGGCAACCUUAUAAAGGGUACUUAGAGAAUUUAAUAGAGAACUCUGUUUUAAUAACGAACAGUAGUAUAUUUGCAGAUCAGUGAAAUAUUUGUGCUGAAAACCUGCUGUGGUUUGUAGUGGAAAUUCAAGCAGAAAUCCUGUUAUCUCCUGCUCAGUUGUGCAGAUGCUGUCCCUGCAGCAGGCCAAUAUAUCUACUGAGCUCUUUGACAGCAAAACAUGGGACUUCUACCUGGAUUUGUCAUCCCUGAAAAAGGCAGGCUGUGCCUACAUAAAUUUGUCCAAGCAAUUAUCAGGACUAGCUUGAAAUAACAUGAAAAAAAGUUCUCUUCCACAGAAUUUCUUCCUCUUAAGAUCUGCAGGCAGCAUCUCGUGGCACCCCUUUGGUCCCACCUUGGGCUUCUCUCCCACAGUGAUUCUUUCCAAGAGGGUCUCUUUUGCCACCCUCACUUCUCCAACUCAGAAAUGCCACCUGGGCAGAACAUGAAGAUUCUGUGCUUUUGUCCAUGACCUCUGGCUUGCCCAGCAUCCAGAAACCAUGGAGAUGUUUGAGGGGGAGGAAGGCUGCUCCUCAGUACACAUUCAAACGACUGAUUCUUUGGGAAUGGGCAGGCUUGAUUUUAGUGCAUGGACUUUAUAGGUGAUCUGUGUUUGUGUUGUUUGACAUGCUCAGGAUGACUAACUUAUUCUGAAGAAUCAUGCAUGCGCAGUAAGUUUGAUACUUCCCAGAGGUAUCAAGCCCAUUAGGCACAUACUGCGCUGAAGCCUGCAAAAAUAUUUCUGUCAGGAAGACCCAUCUAUCACAACAGGCCCUCAAAUGACCUUCCCAAGAGUCAGCGUCUAAAAAGGAAUUAAAUUUUUACUACCUUUCUAAGAGGCUGUAUGAAGUCAGAAGCCCAAACGCUGAACAGAACUCAAAUUCAGUCCCAAACGAGCCAUCACCCUCCUUCUCCCAGCGCAAGCAAGUAACUGGUGGAGCACAAAGUAUCUGCUCCCCGUUGGGCACCAGCUCUGCCAUACAGUCAUCAUGUUGCCGUGCCAAAAGAAAAGCGGGGGCAGGGAUGGGGAUGUUUUCUUUUCCAAGAACAGUCCUCCAGGAUAUAAAAUAGUAUUUCUUGCCUGUGUUAUCAGAAAUGACACAGUUCACAAAGUCAGCAGCCACAUUUUUGCCAGCAGGUUGCCAAUUGUUUCUAAUUUGAAAAGCAUCCAAAAAUGUUUCAACUACUGGACGUAUUUCAAAGUUUUACACUCAAACCUUGUCACUUUUAUAGAUUUUAGGGACAAUGAAAAUGUCUGGCAGGCCCUGAGCUGAAUACUGACUUUGCCACAUCCCAGUUUAUUCAUAUUGUGCCCGUGCAAAGGGUGCCAAGGACUGGAAUAUCAAGAGCUGUCUGGUUUUAUUCCCUUCAACUCUCAACAGUCCUGUCAAACCCCAUAAACUGAGAGGCUCAUGCAGUUCAUUCCCUCCUAAUCAUUUUGCAGAGACAAGACUAAAGCUCCCCUGUCACUGUGGCACCUCUCCUGCUCUGCAGUCCCACGGGCUUGACAGAGUUGGCCAGCCUGGCCAGGACGCCGGCGGGAGAGGAGCAUCACGGUGAUACACCGGUGCCAGGUAAAACUUUCCUUCAUCUUAAGCUGUAUGACCACCAUAAAUGGGUGAACAACUAUGGCCCAGAUCUACAAAAGUGCCUAAAGAAGAACCUACAUAGAACCAGGCUUUAAAACACCAGAGCGCCAUACCCCAAAACACACUCCAAAACUUUUGGUGAGGCAUGAAGUAAUACUUUCAUAUAUGUGAAGUGCUGUAUCAGUCUUGGAAGGACACCAUCACCCCCCACCUACCACAGAGCCAGCUCUGGAUGGGAACUGCCUGCCCUCCAUGGAUGGCCAAAUCCUCCAACCAAGCUUCAUGCUGGCAAGUGGGAGCUCUGCACAGUGCACAGCUACCACGGUUAAUAUGCUCUUCUUGUGGGUACUUGGGGACAUCUUGGGCCAAUUUCUGCCACAGGUCCAGAGACAGCUACAUCAACUCUACACAAGCCAACACUGGAGCUAGACCCAUUCAUCAGAGAGGAGAAAGACACACUGGUUGCCACGCUGCGCUGCAGAAACCUUUGGUUGUUGAUCUGAGGCACAGUAUAAAACACAGUGUCCUUUUAUAGCUGUGUUGCUGGCCCUGUGUUAGAUGGAAAUUAGAUCUCUCUUUAAGAAGUUGCAUCUUCAGAAGAACCAUAACAGAAAAAAAAAAUCAAGAGGAAAUCCCCAAACCCUGUCACCCACCUCCAAAACUGUAAAAGCUGAAAAUGCCCAGAUGCAGGAUGGAUGGAUAAGAACUCAACCUGAAGCAGAGAUCUGAGGAGUGUUUCAUAGAAAACACAACUCCCUAUCAACAAUCCAGGAUACUCACCUCUUCCAGAAAUCCUCAUUCAUUUCUAUUUUAAUUAAUAAUCCUAAAAUCAGCAUUAAACAUCCUAAAUCAGUGCACAUUAAAAUAAACACUAUGUACAAUUACUCCAAAUUCAAGCUGUAGGUCACAUUUAUCCUUUAUAUCUUAAUAUGCAUCUGUAAUCAGAAGGAGGUCAUGGGGAUCUGUGCAAAUUAGAACGUGCUAGAGCACAGCCUCAGGUAUCAUACUACUUGUACAA